This 56-nucleotide transfer RNA is filed under the name Bos taurus (domestic cattle). The record is from Rfam by way of RNAcentral. Lineage: Eukaryota; Metazoa; Chordata; Mammalia; Artiodactyla; Bovidae. RNAcentral also lists the same sequence under 5 other names.
UGGCUCAGUGGUAAAGAAUUUGCCUGCUAAGCAGGACACCCAGGUUCAAUCCCUGG